UGUCGCUAAUAAUCCACCGAUUCCCGUCGAUCUCUUUUGCGAUUCCUUUACACCCAUAUAUACACAUUUGUGUGCCUGUAUUUUUCUUCCACCCAGAUUAAGGGGAAGAUCAUGCUGAUGCGCUGUAAACGUUCCAGCCACAACCACGGGGGUUUGGAUUUAGGCUCUAGUUCAUGCAUCCAAAUCUCUGUGAAUGUAUACAUGGAUGGCUCUGGCCUUAACUUAAUGAAGUUUUGGCUGCGAGUGGGGGUUGUUUUCAGCUACGUACGUACCACCACCUGGGCCAACCUGUCCUGACAAGGGUUUUAGAAAUGGAACUAUGAUCUGCAGAUCUGGAAGCUAAUGUGCAUGCAAUGAGCCUGGUACAUGAACAUCAGUGAUUCUUGGUGCCAGCUCAUUUUAUUUGUGUGCAGCUGGAGAUUCUGCCAACAAAAACGAAUUACAUGCAGAAUUGUUUAGUUGCAUGCAACACUGUACGAAGAAGCAUCAAGCAUGUAUUCUGAAAUACUCCUACAACAUAUCUAGGUGGACUUGUAUAUGCAUAACGGCCUAAAAGUUUUAAAACAUCCCUAACGGCCUAAAUGUUGAUUUUUUUUUCCUCUAAGGUCCUAUGUUAGGUGCAACAGUACAUCAUUCAAAUGACUGUUCAGUGAGGCGAUAGGGUACCAAGUACGGAGUACUACAAACACAGUGUUUUUGUUUUUU
Brachypodium distachyon (stiff brome) is the source of this 705-nucleotide long non-coding RNA. RefSeq lists it as uncharacterized. The record is from RefSeq and is a predicted model, not a curated record. NCBI's taxonomy places the organism in Eukaryota, Viridiplantae, Streptophyta, Magnoliopsida, Poales, Poaceae. The transcript is spliced from 2 exons.